CCGGCGAGCCCCGCGCUCGGCCCUCGGCGCGCUCAGCGCAUCGCUCCCGGCAGCGCCGCCCCCGCCCCCGCCCCCGCCCCCGCCCCCGCCCCGGCCCCCGCCCCCGCCCGCCGCCCGCCGCGGGGCCGGCUCUGUGCCGCCGACGGCUCGGUCCCCGCCGGGCGCGCACCCUCGGCCACCCUCAGCCGCCCUCCGCCGCCGGCCGCCGGCCCAUGCCCCGCGCGCCGCUCGCCGCUCGCCGGCCGCAGCUGCAGGCCCUGCCCCGGGCGGCCCGCGGGCGGGGGCGGGGGCGGGGGCGGGGCGGGGCGGGCGGGGCGGGCGCGGCGCCCGGGCCGCGGGGCGGGAGGGCGCGAGCACCGGGGCCGACGCGCCGCGCACCUGCCCGAGCCGCGGGCGACGCGGGGCCGCGCCGCUCCGCUCCGCUCCGGCCGGCUCCGCGCGCCGCGGCCCCCACCCCCGGAACGCGCCGGCUCUGGGCGGGACGGCGAGGUGCCCGGGCUGUCCCCGCCCCGGAGGCCGCGCCGGGCGUCGCUCCGGCGACACGGGCCCUUUCCCCCCGCGGGCCCCGGCGGCGGGGCGCUACGGGCCGGGCCCGGGAGCCGCGGGGGCGUCGGGGCCGUCGGGGCCGUCGGAGCCGUCGGAGCGCGGCCUGCGCGGGGCGCUGUUUGCCGCGUUCCCACGCCCCCGGGGGCCCCGCCGGCUCCCCGCGCCCUGCGCCGCUCUGCCCCCCGCGCCACCGUCGCUUCCACUUCUCCCCUCCCUGCCCCCGGCCACGAGGAAGAAAAACAUCUCUCUGCGUCUCAGGCUUGGAGGUGCACAUGUCCCGGAGCUGCGGCAAUAUAAUUAUUUCGCGGAAAGCCGGUGAUUUGCCUCGCUCAGACCGACUUGCUGCGCUAAUUACAGGCCGCCUGCGGUUCUAACGUAGGGAAUCCAUGAGAUGUCAACAGAGGGCACAAGGGGAGAAAGAAAAGAGAAAAGAAAAGAAAGAAAAAAAGAAAAGGAAAGAAAAAGAAGAAAAGAAAAAGAAAGAAAAACACUCCCCACCUGAAUCGAUGCAUAUAAGGACCAGUCAUCUUAAGACUUUGAAAAUAAUGCAGGGACAAGUCCAGGAUAAAAUUAGAGAAGGAUCCUAGGAGAAGACACAGAGUACUUCAGUUAAUAUUUUAUAAAGCAUUAGUGUUUCAAAAGUGCGACAGAAUUGAAUGUAUGGACGUCCUGUCGUCUUAAAAAGAAUCAUUGAGCCAUCCAAAAAUCUGCCUCCCUAUCUAAAUUCACUGGAAAUCUUCAUUAAAGUUAUAGGCUUCGGUUCCCCAGGAAGAAAGGAGCAACAAAUAAUAACUUUGUAGAACUGUGUAGCUCAACAUGGGAAGCUCCAUGCAAGGAGCUUUAUCUGUUUCUUUGCCGAUUAUCACAAAGCCCCAAAGAGAUAGACAUUCUUGUAUCCAUUAUCCAUUAUACAUUCUUGUACCCAUUUUGUAAGCAAAGAAUUUUAGAUGAAGAAAUGUUUAAAAACAAACAGAUGUAUCCAAGUUUACCAAUCAAAAAGGGUCUAGAAGGCAUUUAAACAGCCUGUCCAUGCUAACAUUGGUUUCAGCCCACCCUCCAGUUGGGGACCAGUUACCCGUAAAUGGCAGGUCAUUUUCUCAACAGCCUUUACAUAUAACAGUAGAGGAUAAUUUAGGGAAUGUCAAAAAAAAAAAAAAAAAGCCAUAGCAGAAUAAAGUUUUAUUUGCAGUAAGCAAAUCAGGCCAGUUCUACAAGUUUGGUGAAAUAAUAAUAGGGCAAGGACACAUGCAGACAAUAAUUUCUAGGAGUUUGAGUCACAUAAUGCUUUUAAAAACAAUUGAAAAACAAUUGCGCAUCAGGGUGCCUGGGUGGCACAGCAGGUGGGCAUCUGACUCUGGGUUUCAGCUUGGGUGGUGAUCUUAGAGUCCUGAGAUCCAGCCCUCUGUCGGGCUCAGCACCGAGUCUGCUUUAGAUUCUCUCUGCCCUUCCCACUACUAUGCUAUCUCUCUCUCUCUCUCUCUGUCUCUCUGUCUCUCUCUCUCCCCUCCCUCCCUUUCUAAAAUAAAUAAAUAUUAAAAAGAUUUUUUAAAAGAAUGUGCAUUAUAAACAAGAAGAUGAAUGAUAAGUCUACAUUUCUGGGAUCUUACUGCCCAGAGUGUGGAAAUCACAGACUCUAGUAUCACUUUACUUUUAUAAAUCUAUGUUAUUGUAGUUAAAGAUUAUCAACACUUUCUCACAUUUACAGAAGUACUCUUUUAUAUAAAUGGAAGAUGAAAGACACAGUUUUAAAAACAAUCUUUUCAUCUUUCCCCUAAAGCAAAACAAGAGGGCAGCCCAGGUGGCUCAGCGGUUUAGCGCAGAGCCUGAUCUU
RNAcentral lists this long non-coding RNA (2377 nucleotides) under Canis lupus familiaris (dog). RNAcentral describes it as "lncRNA (ENSCAFG00030021473.1)". Lineage: Eukaryota; Metazoa; Chordata; Mammalia; Carnivora; Canidae. The record is from RNAcentral.